Oncorhynchus keta (chum salmon) is the source of this 1332-nucleotide long non-coding RNA. RefSeq lists it as uncharacterized. NCBI's taxonomy places the organism in Eukaryota, Metazoa, Chordata, Actinopteri, Salmoniformes, Salmonidae. The transcript has 4 exons. The record is from RefSeq and is a predicted model, not a curated record.
UUACCCCCGCACAUUGACCAUGUAUCGGUACCCCCCUGUACAUUGACUAUGUACCGUUACCCCCACACAUUGACCAUGUACCGGUGCCCCCACGCAUUGACUAUGUAUCGGUACCCCCCUGUACAUUGACUAUGUAUCGGUACCCCCCUGUACAUUGACUAUGUAUCUGUACCCCCCUGUACAUUUCUAUUGUUAUUUCACUGCUGCUCUUUAAUUACUAUUAUUAUUACUUUCAUCUCUUAUUCUUAUCUGUAUUUUUUUAAACUGCAUUGUUGGUUAGAGGCUCGUCAGUAAUGUCUACUACACCUGUUGUAUUCAGCAUUUCACUGUAAGGUCUACUACACCUGUUGUAUUCAGCAUUUCACUGUAAGGUCUACUACACCUGUUGUAUUCAGCAUUUCACUGUAAGGUCUACUACACCUGUUGUAUUCAGCAUUUCACUGUAAGGUCUACUACACCUGUUGUAUUCAGCAUUUCACUGUAAGGUCUACUACACCUGUUGUAUUCAGCAUUUCACUGUAAGGCCUACUACACCUGUUGUAUUCAGCAUUUCACUGUAAGGUCUACUACACCUGUUGUAUUCAGCAUUUCACAGUAAGGUCUACUACACCUGUUGUAUUCAGCAUUUCACCGUAAGGUCUACUACACCUGUUGUAUUCAGCAUUUCACCGUAAGGUCUACUACACCUGUUGUAUUCAGCAUUUCACUGUAAGGUCUACUACACCUGUUGUAUUCAGCAUUUCACUGUAAGGUCUACUACACCUGUUGUAUUCAGCAUUUCACUGUAAGGUCUACUACACCUGUUGUAUUCAGCAUUUCACGGUAAGGUCUACUACACCUGUUGUAUUCAGCAUUUCACUGUAAGGUCUACUACACCUGUUGUAUUCAGCAUUUCACUGUAAGGUCUACUACACCUGUUGUAUUCAGCAUUUCACUGUAAGGUCUACUACACCUGUUGUAUUCAGCAUUUCACUGUAAGGUCUACUACACCUGUUGUAUUCAGCAUUUCACUGUAAGGUCUACUACACCUGUUGUAUUCAGCAUUUCACGGUAAGGUCUACUACACCUGUUGUAUUCAGCAUUUCACUGUAAGGUCUACUACACCUGUUGUAUUCAGCAUUUCACUGUUAGGUCUACUACACCUGUUGUAUUCAGCAUUUCACAGUAAGGUCUACUACACCUGUUGUAUUCAGCAUUUCACUGUAAGGUCUACUACACCUGUUGUAUUCAGCAUUUCACCGUAAGGUCUACUACACCUGUUGUAUUCAGCAUUUCACUGUAAUGUCUACUACACCUGUUGUAUUCAGCAUUUCACUGUCAGGUCUACUACAC